This is a long non-coding RNA of Cyprinus carpio carpio, 462 nucleotides long. The record is from Ensembl. Lineage: Eukaryota; Metazoa; Chordata; Actinopteri; Cypriniformes; Cyprinidae.
GACCUCCAGACUGAAUGCCAACGAUCGUUUCGACAUGUCCUCCCCAGCGAUAUGACAAUGGAAAACAUGGCCUCCAAAUGGGAUAGCCAAACAACAUCCUGUGGUUAAAGAUGUUUAGCUAAAUCAGGCCACGGAUCGUGACAAUAGCUGUUUCAUAACCUAGUGAGCUUAUAUUGGCAGCGUCCUGAAUCGAGCUGAACCUUCUCAAGAUGAGACACUCAUAUUGGGUUACUGAAAUUCUGCUUGGAAUCAGCAAUGACAAGGGCCAUGCUUUGUGAGCACAGAGAUCGCAGCUGCUCAGAGAGAGAAUAGCAGCACUUCCUGCAGUCGUCACGUCUGGAGAUGAAGCCGCGGACAGCAUGGAAUGAAGUUAGAUGCCUGAAAUGUCACUGAAAAAUGAAAGGGCAUGAGAGAGUGCCGCUGUGAGAACAAGAAAACAACACACAACACACAACAGAGCCA